Molecule: ribosomal RNA, 253 nt
Filed under: uncultured prokaryote
Description: partial 16S ribosomal RNA
Rfam family: Bacterial small subunit ribosomal RNA
Source: RNAcentral
GACAGAGGAUGCAAGCGUUAUCCGGAAUGAUUGGGCGUAAAGCGUCUGUAGGUGGCUUUUUAAGUCUGCCGUCAAAUCCCAGGGCUCAACCCUGGACAGGCGGUGGAAACUACCAAGCUGGAGUACGGUAGGGGCAGAGGGAAUUUCCGGUGGAGCGGUGAAAUGCGUAGAGAUGUGGAGGAACACCGAUGGCGAAGGCAGCCCCCUGGGCUGAGAUUGACGCUCAGGCACGAAAGCGUGGGGAGCAAACAGG